AUUGAACGCUGGCGGCAGGCCUAACACAUGCAAGUCGAACGGUAACAGGAAGAAGCUUGCUUCUUUGCUGACGAGUGGCGGACGGGUGAGUAAUGUCUGGGAAACUGCCUGAUGGAGGGGGAUAACUACUGGAAACGGUAGCUAAUACCGCAUAACGUCGCAAGACCAAAGAGGGGGACCUUCGGGCCUCUUGCCCUCGGAUGUGCCCAGAUGGGAUUAGCUAGUAGGUGGGGUAACGACUCACCUAGGCGACGAUCCCUAGCUGGUCUGAGAGGAUGACCAGCCACACUGGAACGGGGCCACGGUCCAGACUCCUACGGGAGGCAGCAGUGGGGAAUAUUGCACAAUGGGCGCAAGCCUGAUGCAGCCAUGCCGCGUGUAUGAAGAAGGCCUUCGGGUUGUAAAGUACUUUCAGCGGGGAGGAAGGGAGUAAAGUUAAUACCUUUACUCAUUGACGUUACCCGCAGAAGAAGCACCGGCUAACUCCGUG
This 490-nucleotide ribosomal RNA is filed under the name uncultured bacterium. RNAcentral describes it as "partial 16S ribosomal RNA". It matches the Rfam family "Bacterial small subunit ribosomal RNA", at positions 30 to 507 of the family's 1533-position model. The record is from RNAcentral.